CAUGCAGUCGAGCGGGGAAGAGUAGCUUGCUACUUUACCUAGCGGCGGACGGGUGAGUAAUGCUUAGGAAUCUGCCUAUUAGUGGGGGACAACAUCUCGAAAGGGAUGCUAAUACCGCAUACGUCCUACGGGAGAAAGCAGGGGACCUUCGGGCCUUGCGCUAAUAGAUGAGCCUAAGUCGGAUUAGCUAGUUGGUGGGGUAAAGGCCUACCAAGGCGACGAUCUGUAGCGGGUCUGAGAGGAUGAUCCGCCACACUGGGACUGAGACACGGCCCAGACUCCUACGGGAGGCAGCAGUGGGGAAUAUUGGACAAUGGGGGGAACCCUGAUCCAGCCG
This 337-nucleotide ribosomal RNA is filed under the name Acinetobacter lwoffii. RNAcentral describes it as "bacterial SSU rRNA". It matches the Rfam family "Bacterial small subunit ribosomal RNA", at positions 54 to 392 of the family's 1533-position model. The record is from RNAcentral. Lineage: Bacteria; Pseudomonadati; Pseudomonadota; Gammaproteobacteria; Moraxellales; Moraxellaceae.